AGAUGCAGUGUAUGGAAUGUCAAAUUUCUAGUAUGAGAAAUUAACUAUUUAAGUCCUUCUUAAAUGAGGCCAUUUACCCAAAGAGGGUGCCAGGCCCGUAUAAAGUUAAUGAUUACUAGAUGGCAUUUCCAAAGAGUCGUGUUGCUUGAUAGUGCAGCACUAAGUGGGUGGUAAACUCCAUCUAAAACUAAAUAUAACCAUGAGACCGAUAGUAAACAAGUACCGUGAGGGAAAGUUGAAAAGAACUCUGAAUAGAGAGUUAAAUAGUACGUGAAACUGCUUAGAGGUUAAGCCCGAUGAACCUGAAUAUCCGUUAUAGAAAAUUCAUCAUUAUGACUUUAAUAUUAAUAAUAUUAUAAUAAUAGUGUGCAUUUUUUCUAUAUAUGGACAUUGUAAUCUAUUAAUAUAAAUAUAUUUAUCAUAAGGUCAUUUGCGUAAGUUUAUUCGAAUUAUUUUGCUUGCAAUUUAAUAUAGAAUAAAUGCUCAUGAUUUGAUAAAGUGUUGAUAGAUUUAUUAUAUAUAGUGCUUAAAUAUUUAUAUUUUAUAAUAGCAUAUUAAUCAUUGAUUUUUAUGUUUAUUAUAUGCACUUAUAUGAUUAACAAUGCGAAAGAUUCAGGAUACCUUCGGGACCCGUCUUGAAACACGGACCAAGGAGUCUAACAUAUUUGCAAGUUAUUGGGAAUUAAAACCUAAUAGCGUAAUUAACAUAACUUAAUAAUGGGAUUAGUUUUUAGCCUAUUUAUAGUCUAUUAAUUCAAUCCCGGGGCGUUCUAUACAGUUAUGUAUAAUAAUAUUUAUAUUAUUUAUACCUCUAACUAGAGCGUACCUUGAGCAUAUAUGCUGUGACCCGAAAGAUGGUGAACUAUACUUGAUCAGGUUGAAGUCAGGGGAAACCCUGAUGGAAGACCGAAACAGUUCUGACGUGCAAAUCGAUUGUCAGAAUUGAGUAUAGGGGCGAAAGACCAAUCGAACCAUCUAGUAGCUGGUUCCCUCCGAAGUUUCCCUCAGGAUAGCUGGUGCAUUUAAAAAUUAUGUAAAAUAAUCUUAUCUGGUAAAGCGAAUGAUUAGAGGCAUUAGGGUCGAAACGACCUUAACCUAUUCUCAAACUUUAAAUGGGUAAGAACCUCACCUUUCUUGGUAUGAAGGUUGUGGUUGUGAUAUAAUGUGCCCAGUGGGCCACUUUUGGUAAGCAGAACUGGCGCUGUGGGAUGAACCAAACGUAAUGUUACGGUGCCCAAAUUAACAACUCAUGCAGAUACCAUGAAAGGCG
RNAcentral lists this ribosomal RNA (1270 nucleotides) under Bengalia sp. T662. Its description in RNAcentral is "eukaryotic LSU rRNA". It matches the Rfam family "Eukaryotic large subunit ribosomal RNA", at positions 141 to 1223 of the family's 3401-position model. Lineage: Eukaryota; Metazoa; Arthropoda; Insecta; Diptera; Calliphoridae. The record is from RNAcentral.